Bubalus bubalis (water buffalo) is the source of this 662-nucleotide long non-coding RNA. RefSeq lists it as uncharacterized. The record is from RefSeq and is a predicted model, not a curated record. The transcript has 2 exons. Lineage: Eukaryota; Metazoa; Chordata; Mammalia; Artiodactyla; Bovidae.
AGGGGUAAGGUAUGGUGAUUUGUACAGUGAUACAGAGGGGUAAGUUACUUAGGAUUGGGGAAUGGGGUAAGCCCAAAAGAGAAGGGCAAUAUACAGGCUGGACCUCUUCUGGAUAAAUCCUCCUCCUCUUGAUGGGUUUUGGCAAUUUGUUGUAAGAGCUGGACUUUAUUGCAGGUGAUGGAUGGACCAGUUGCUGAAAACAGAACUGUCUGCUAAGGAAAGAUGAGGAAGCAUUGGUUUCUUUGGAAUGAUAAGGACCAGCCUUGGAGACAAAAAGGAAGCAAAGACACCAAAGUUGACCAAAUCUGAAGAGAAUAUUUGUGAGUAGGUGACAAGGUUCUGAGAAUCACCAGUUCACCUACCUUAACUACCUGAAGCAGAACUGCAGGGCAGCAAGGCACAGAACAAUCUUCUAUUCUCUGCACAUGCCUCUGAUAUCAAGACGGGUCACCAUCAGCUCUCCCAGAACGACCUAUGAAAAUGCAGCCAAGUUCUCACUCUUUCCAAGUCUGCUUAUAUAAUGUCGUCCAGUCUUGGAGGUACAGUCUCAAUAAUUGCUCCCAAAACCGAAUCAAUUUUUCCACAAAGGAUACAGACUUCAUUAGGUUGGACUGAUCCACCUUACUUGAAUCCUAGACAAUGUUUGUUCUUUGGAUAGAACA